Molecule: long non-coding RNA, 222 nt
Organism: Xyrauchen texanus (razorback sucker)
Lineage: Eukaryota; Metazoa; Chordata; Actinopteri; Cypriniformes; Catostomidae
Exons: 3
Source: RefSeq, a predicted model, not a curated record
GACGCAUUGUAUUAUUGGAUCCUCCUGAAACCACACAGUCUGUCACAAUUAAUGAUGAUGAAGAGACCACAUCUGCUGUGACUGAAUUAGAAAGUGCUGGGAGACCCACAGAGAAUCUAGCUGGGGAUGUACAUGCAGAUGAGGGUCCAUCUACCUCUACACAUAAUCUUAGCAGUGUAAGAACUUGUCCCUGGUUGUCCUUAUUUACAUAAUGUUACUAUG